RNAcentral lists this ribosomal RNA (314 nucleotides) under uncultured bacterium. Its description in RNAcentral is "partial 16S ribosomal RNA". It matches the Rfam family "Bacterial small subunit ribosomal RNA", at positions 958 to 1392 of the family's 1533-position model. The record is from RNAcentral.
AACGCGAAGAACCUUACCUACCCUUGACAUGGCGGAGAUUCUGCCGAGACCUUCGGGAACUCUGAGACAGGUGCUGCAUGGCUGUCGUCGUGAGAUGUUGGGUUAAGUCCCAUAACGAGCGCAACCCUUGCCAGCGGUCCGGCCGGGAACUCAAAGGAGACUGCCAGACACACGUGCUACAAUGGCGCAUACAAAGAGAAGCGACCUAGCGGACCUCAUAAAGUGCGUCGUAGUCCGGAUUGGAGUCGUGCAUGAAGGCGGAAUCGCUAGUAAUCGUGGAUCAGCAUAUACGUUCCCGGGUCUUGUACACACCG